GACGCGGCGUGCGAUGUAGACUCUAAUCCUAACUUUCUGGCGCUUGAGGAAUGCGACGUUAUGGGAACUGGCCAGCCCAUAAUUUAGCCCUCUUGAGUUGUUGUUAGAGAAUUGUCUGCAGGCGUACGAUGUCUGUCAAGGUAGUCUUGAUGCCGAGGCGCCGGUCAAUUUCUACCACGAAAUUCCGCAUUCUCAGGAAGUUCCAGUGUGUUUCCAGUUUGUCCCAUUACGAAAUAGAACAUUUUGAUCAAGGAUAUUAAUCGUAAUAACAGAUGGGGUCGAAAAAAAGGCGUCAAGAUACCGUUAUAUCAAAGUUAAAUGCAGUUGGAUAAUUUCUUGCCAGUAAAAUAAUAUGGUUUUUGCUCUCGAACGGCAUAUCUAAGGUCACGUUGCUCCAAUUUUUCGAUAAUAAGGAAGUUCGUUGGAAAAUCAAUCACCGCAACCGGCUUUUCUUCUCCUAACCUUAAAUCAGAGUUCAAAAAUAUAACAAAAAUAUCAGAUAUACAAGAGAAAUACAGAUAACAAGAAACGUUUAAUAACUAUAUUGAUAAUUUAGAAUUGAAAAUACGUAACCUGCGUAGAAAUAUGUGACGUUCAGCAGCGAUAAUGGGUAAAGUUAUUGAAAGCAAUCAUAAAGAAGUCAACAAACAUGUUCUAUGAAGCUAAUAAAGGAUGCUCUCCUGUAUGAUCUCACCCUAUAACCAGAGAUAAAUACGGUAUUCACUUAUGAAGUAGGAAACAGGAUAAACUAAUAGCUUAUUGAUAAAACAAAACAGAUGUAAUGGAAUGUAAAAACAUGAAGUUAUUAUUUGUGUAUGUGUUUUUUGCUGGAAUAUCUUUUGCAAUUCGCGUGGAAUUCAAGCUUGGAAUGGCAACAGCAGCUUAUCAAAUUGAGGGUGGAUACAACUGUGACGACACAGCAUUAUUUAUGCAGCAAAAAAUGAUCAUGACUGGGCGACAUUUUUCGUUGUGGAAAUUUCUUUUACGAUUUUUCUGAUUUUCUGGUAGAAAAAGUGAUUUUUCUGUGCACUAUUUGAGCUUAUUCUGUCCCUUAAGGCCUGUUUAAUCUACUGGAAACUAAUAAAUCAGUGUGUCAAUAAUAUCACACAAGAGAAUGGUGUCUUUCUGUAUCCUUUCCCAGAAGAGGAGACCUGGAUCAUCCUCUAACUUUGAUGUUCGGCCAUCAAUGACCUGCAUAGCAAGUACAGGUACCCGAGACAGUUACUACCCUCCAUGUCUAAAAGCUGGCGGAGGCUGAGGGUUUAUCUUUGACCAUAGGUUAAAUUAGCUGGGGGGCAGGAAGGUAAAACAUCAAAAAUCACAUCAGGAGACGAAGAUUUAUCAGAGGAGGUUUAUAUAAAGGCUAAGUUAUAUCUUCAACUACUGCAGUAGAAGAAAUUCAAAAUCUGUUAAUAAUACCACACAAGAGAGAACGGUGUCUUUCUGCAUCCUUCCACAAGAGGGCACCUGGAUCAUUCUCUGACUCUGAUGUUUGGCGAUUGGGGACCUGCAUAGCAUAUAUGGGUACCCAAGGAAGUUACCACCUUCUAUGUCUAUUAGCCGGGUGAUGCUUAAUCUUUGACCGAGGCAGAUGAAUAUGCAUCAGGAGACAAAGAUUUAUGAUAAAUGGAGGAUAGCAUGACAUAGUUUAGCUCAAUCUUGUAUUUCUAAACACUAGAUUACAAGGAAUUAAAAGAAUACGUCAGGUUUGCGUCAGUUCAUUUACAAGUAUAUUGAAAAAAGUAUUGACAGUGACAAGAGUAUUGAAAAAAGUAUUUGCUAAACUUUAAUAGUAAAGUGUUU
This is a long non-coding RNA of Sitophilus oryzae (rice weevil), 1803 nucleotides long. RefSeq lists it as uncharacterized. The transcript is spliced from 8 exons. The record is from RefSeq and is a predicted model, not a curated record. NCBI's taxonomy places the organism in Eukaryota, Metazoa, Arthropoda, Insecta, Coleoptera, Curculionidae.